CUAUGUCGAUCAGGUCUCCGCACUAGGUUUGGUAUUGAUAUGGUGCUCCUCGGGGAGCCCGGGACCACCAGCUCGUCUAAGGAGGGGUGAAUCGGCCCAGGUCGGUAACAGAGCAGGUCAAAGCCCCCAUGCCGCUCAGUAGUGGGUUCGCGCCUGUGAAUAG
Unclassified non-coding RNA from Larimichthys crocea (large yellow croaker), 163 nucleotides. It matches the Rfam family "Metazoan signal recognition particle RNA". Rfam says of the family: The signal recognition particle (SRP) is a universally conserved ribonucleoprotein. It is involved in the co-translational targeting of proteins to membranes. The eukaryotic SRP consists of a 300-nucleotide 7S RNA and six proteins: SRPs 72, 68, 54, 19, 14, and 9. The record is from Ensembl. NCBI's taxonomy places the organism in Eukaryota, Metazoa, Chordata, Actinopteri, Sciaenidae.